RNAcentral lists this ribosomal RNA (411 nucleotides) under uncultured bacterium. RNAcentral describes it as "bacterial SSU rRNA". It matches the Rfam family "Bacterial small subunit ribosomal RNA", at positions 355 to 776 of the family's 1533-position model. The record is from RNAcentral.
UAGGGAAUCUUGCGCAAUGAGCGAAAGCUUGACGCAGCGACGCCGCGUGUGGGAUGACGGCCUUCGGGUUGUAAACCACUUUCAGCAGGGACGAAGCCUUACGGUGACGGUACCUGCAGAAGAAGGUCCGGCCAACUACGUGCCAGCAGCCGCGGUAAUACGUAGGGACCGAGCGUUGUCCGGAUUUAUUGGGCGUAAAGAGCUCGUAGGCGGCUCUUCGCGUCGGAUGUGAAAGCUCAGGGCUCAACCCUGAGAGGCCAUUCGAUACGGGAGAGCUAGAGGUAGGUAGGGGAAAGUGGAAUUCCUGGUGUAGCGGUGAAAUGCGCAGAUAUCAGGAGGAACACCGGUGGCGAAGGCGGCUUUCUGGGCCUUACCUGACGCUGAGGAGCGAAAGCUGGGGGAGCGAACAGG